RNAcentral lists this long non-coding RNA (824 nucleotides) under Homo sapiens (human). RNAcentral's name for it is "non-protein coding TRAF3IP2-AS1:23". The record is from RNAcentral. Lineage: Eukaryota; Metazoa; Chordata; Mammalia; Primates; Hominidae.
GUUGCUACCAUAUUAGAUAGCAUCUUUAUUAUUUUCGUUGCCAGUAUUCCCACGAGCAUUCUGCUGAGAUGAACAAUCAGAUGACCUCGUGUGAGAUUUGGAGGAGAGAAGGAAAUGGAGAGCAUGCGUCUGCCGCUUCUGUGGUUUCUGUCGGCUUUCUCCAUAUUUACGUGCUUGUAACUCUGGCAUGACCUUUGCUCCAGUCUCUACCAGAGGGCGGUGCCUGGAUUGAAGUGGAAAAGCCCUGUUUUCCAGCCAUGACCCAGGGAGCAAGCACUGACUCCUCAGGGGAACAGGAGACCUGCCAACUAGGACCCUGGGAGCCCCCAUGCUGGCAGUGCCCUGGGUCAUCUCAGGCUCAUCAGCAAAUCCUGGGGGGAGAGCGGGGCUGGAGGGCGAAGAAGCCCAGGAGAGUUCCUGGCUCAGAACCCCUCUCUGAGGCUCCCAAUACAGAGCCCAGGCCCCACACCCAGGGCCUCUGAGUAUUUUUGUUUAUUGUAUGUAAAAUACUAGUGUAUUUUUGUUUAAGUCUCACAGGUAAACAGGUUCUCUCAUACUUUGCCAAGGGAAAUGUGAUCUGUGCAAUUUGGCAAUAACUAUCAGAAUUUUAAAAGCUUAUGCCCUUUGACCUAGUAAUUUCACUUCUAAGAAUUUCCCCUGCAGAGAUAUGUAUAUCUUGUAUGAAAUGAAGAGGCUACGAAGACAGGCAACGCCGCAGUGUUUAUAAUAGCGAAGACCAGACACAACCCACAUGUCUAAAGGUUCUGAUUUUUAAAACUGUAGUAUAUCUGUACAAUGAGCACUCCACAUCCUUUAAGAAUGAG